Cervus elaphus (red deer) is the source of this 622-nucleotide long non-coding RNA. RefSeq lists it as uncharacterized. The transcript has 3 exons. NCBI's taxonomy places the organism in Eukaryota, Metazoa, Chordata, Mammalia, Artiodactyla, Cervidae. The record is from RefSeq and is a predicted model, not a curated record.
CUUUAGUUAUAAUGAACAUGGGCAGGCAAACAGAUCUCACAAGAUGCUUCAAUGUCUGAAAAUUUGCAGUUUCUGUUUUAAAAUUUGGAGAACACCUCGUUUACACUGCAGAUUAAAGGGAGGCAUUUCUUGAGGUGGAAUAGAGAAUAAAAAGGUUUUGAGGAGACAAAAUUACUGAAAAACAAAAGAGGAGCACUCCACAAGGUGACCAGUUUUUUAAAGACUUGCCUUGUUCUCUCCAAGUCAUCAGUUGCUGCUACGUCCCAUCUUUAAUUCAGCUGGACCCUCAGCACAGUGAAUUGUGUGUCCUAUUAAUAUAAGGACAUACAACAUUUUUACAGUGAUGAUGCUUCCCUGGCGGUGCAGUUGUUAAGGAUCCACCUUGCAGAGCCAAGUCCACUUGGUCUGGGAAGAUUCCACAUGCCAUGGAGAAACAGCCCGUGCAUCACAACUACGGAGCCCACGUGCUGCAACUACUAAAGCCUGUGAGCCUAGAGCCUGAGCUCUGCAGGGAGGGAAGUCAGCGCAACGAGAAGCCUGCCCAUGACAACAAAGGUGGCCGCAGCGCGCUGCAGCUGGAGAAAGCCCUUGUGCAGCAAUGAAGACCCAUCACAGCCAAAAA